AUGUGUUACAUGGUGGCCUCCCAGCUGGAUUGUGCCACCUCAGGCGUGGCGGAAGGUCCUCACAACCCUGGGCUUCCUGUACCCGCUUCCUCAGUGCUAAUACUCCAAGUCUACUUGGGCUGCAGACUCCAAGCUUGGAAUAGAUCUGGGAAACCCCUUCAAAUCCUCCACACGCUCGUUUGCAGCCUACCUGGCGCCAUCAUCACCACCCAUUCUCUGCAGGCCCUGGCCUGGCCCUUCCCGGACCCUGCCCCUCUGCAGGCACCAGUGCCCUGCUGCCUGUGACCCCCUUCCAUCCUGCCUGCUACUUCCCCGCCCUCCCUGCCCCAUCAGCAGGCCCCUCUGCGGUCAUCACUUAGAAGGGCAUGUGCCUGCUCUGUGAUUCCCGGGGUCGCCACUGUCUGUGAGGAGGGAGAAGGUUUCAGCAGUCCCCUGUGCUCUGUGUUCAGAGUUGAAGGAUUGUGGCUGACACCCGUUUGCAGCUCAGGGAGACUCUGGUGCUGGGACCAUGGGCAGUCAGCCCUUCUGUCACGGGAAGGUCACAUACAGGCAAGAUGCUCCCUCUGUCGGGAGGCCUCGCCUGCCACGUCUGAGAGCCACAGAUGCUGCUCCUCGGAACACUGAGGCCACACAGCUGCCCAGGGUGUAACUCACAUUCACUCCCCAUCCCAGCCCUGGCCCUCACCUGCUGGAGUCCUGUGGGGUUGCUGCCCCUGCAUCUUCUUCUUUGAUAAUUGUCGCAGAAGUUUCACGAAGAAAGCAGGUGGAACUCAGCGAGGGCUGGCAGAGCACAGACUGCAUCCAGACACCGCGGCCCCAGCCAGACUCCGUGCUGUCAGACAAACAUGCAAGUGAAUCACCACCUGCCCGGUUUCCGCUGCAGACGCGGAGGGCGAGAACCCAGGACACCUGCAUGAUAAUUGAGGCCUCCACCCAAACAAAGAAGACAUGAAAGGUGACCAAGAUGCUGUUGGGAGACAUCAUCCCAAGAUUUUGGGUACUCCUGUCCUUAGGGUCACACAAUGGACCAACAUUCAUAGCCAAGAAAGUCCAGGAGUUCACACUGAUGUUAAAGAAAUGAGAUCAAGUCCUGCCCAUGGUCCUCCUCUGAGUCCAGUACACCCCCACCAAACAAACUGGGCAUUCCCCUUAUGAGAUUCUAUAUGACCAGCCACCCCCCAAUCAUAGGUCAAAUUAAAGGUAAUCUUUGUAAACUAAAAAAUUUGUCCCUGAGAAAAUAAAUGUAGGUUUUGGGAAUAGCCCUACAAGAUAUCUAUUGCUUCGUACAAGAGAAAAUGCUCAUAAACUUAACAGACCCAGUAUACCCAUUCAAACCUAGGGACUUUGUUUGGGUCAAAAAAAAAAGGGCUGGGGAUUUAGCUCGGUGGUUCCACUGCCUGCCUCACAAGUGCAAGGUCCUGAGUUUGAUUCCUGGUAUGAAAAAAACACAAAAAACAAAAAAACAACUCUAGGGCCCAUAUAGGAUGGGCCUUAUACUGUGAUUCUGUCCACCUCCACUGCUGUUAAAGUUACAAGAACUGUGUCUUAGAUCUACCACAGUCCGCUAAAGCCAACAGCCCAAGACAAGUAGACCAGCCGGCAGGAUCCUGUGACAAGAUCAGGCUGCCACUACAGACAACACCUGCUCUAGUCACCCUGGAAGCUACUCAAACAGAAGACUGAAGAUCAACAUAAGUCCCAUAUCCUUUUUGUUAUAACUUUCCCUUGCCUCUUACCCCUACUUGUCAGAAACAUUCAGACAGCUGUGGAGACUCUGGUAGGCAGGCACACCACCGACUGAUGGUCUUACCCAAGCACCAACCUCUGCUCAGUGGGCUGUGCUGAGCAACCCCUUGUGACAAAAAUUGAUAAUAAUAAUCAUGAUAAAGAUGGUGCUCUCUGGUAAAACUUGUUAUAGAAAGCAUCAAAGAGGGGAACAAAGCAGAACUUAAAAGAAAAUCAGUUCUCCUAGCUGAAAGCAGUCUAACAGCUCCCUGUUCAGAUUCUGCCUUACCCUUUCCCAUAACUACUGACCUCCCCCUGGUCCUGAUAAGGUAAACAGUCCUAUCACUGUACAGGAACCCCCAAAGAACUAUGUGCUCUGUGAACAACUAUAUUCUAUAAACAAACUCUGUUCCCAUGUGAUUCAUAAGACACUCUCUUCUUACAAGGCUAAAUUACUGAACUGUCUAUCCCCGUUCUGUUCUGUUUAAACUCACUUACUUUGUCACUAAUAGACCACUCCCCUUUGACUAAAUGUAUAAAAACUGAAACUUCUCUUUGUUCAGUUCCUCAGCUUUGGGACACGAGUCCAUCAGGCUGGUGUUCA
Molecule: non-coding RNA, 2329 nt
Organism: Heterocephalus glaber (naked mole-rat)
Lineage: Eukaryota; Metazoa; Chordata; Mammalia; Rodentia; Bathyergidae
Source: RefSeq, a predicted model, not a curated record